GAUGAACGCUGGCUACAGGCUUAACACAUGCAAGUCGAGGGGAAACGACAUCGAAAGCUUGCUUUUGAUGGGCGUCGACCGGCGCACGGGUGAGUAACGCGUAUCCAACCUGCCCAUCACUUGGGAAUAACCUUGCGAAAGUAAGACUAAUACCCAAUGAUAUCCCACGAAGGCAUCGGAAUGGGAUUAAAGAUUUAUCGGUGAUGGAUGGGGAUGCGUCUGAUUAGCUUGUUGGCGGGGUAACGGCCCACCAAGGCAACGAUCAGUAGGGGUUCUGAGAGGAAGGUCCCCCACAUUGGAACUGAGACACGGUCCAAACUCCUACGGGAGGCAGCAGUGAGGAAUAUUGGUCAAUGGGCGAGAGCCUGAACCAGCCAAGUAGCGUGCAGGAAGACGGCCCUAUGGGUUGUAAACUGCUUUUAUAAGGGAAUAAAGUGGGUCACGUGUGACUUUUUGCAUGUACCUUAUGAAUAAGGACCGGCUAAUUCCGUG
Molecule: ribosomal RNA, 492 nt
Filed under: uncultured bacterium
Lineage: Bacteria
Description: partial 16S ribosomal RNA
Rfam family: Bacterial small subunit ribosomal RNA
Source: RNAcentral